Molecule: long non-coding RNA, 259 nt
Filed under: Carica papaya (papaya)
Lineage: Eukaryota; Viridiplantae; Streptophyta; Magnoliopsida; Brassicales; Caricaceae
Description: long non-coding RNA (CPAP_LNC000930)
Source: RNAcentral
AAAUAAGGUAAACAAAUAAGGUCUAUUAGUUACCAACUUACAAAUUUAAAUAAUGGUCGAUUCAUGUAGGCUAGUGAGUCAGAUCAUAAUCUGUUGUUUCACACAAUAUGUUACAAACAUACUUAAUGCACAAACCAGAUCUCUAUGGUGUCAAACAUGUAAGCUAUGAACUAUCUCAAAAAAUAUAAGCUAUAAACUAUACAAUCUCUAUCAUUCUAGGGAGUUGCACCAUUCAAAAACAACAAACAAUAUAAUGAGU